This 384-nucleotide ribosomal RNA is filed under the name Thalassiosira gravida. RNAcentral's name for it is "partial Bacterial large subunit ribosomal RNA". It matches the Rfam family "Bacterial large subunit ribosomal RNA", at positions 1382 to 1764 of the family's 2925-position model. Lineage: Eukaryota; Bacillariophyta; Thalassiosirophyceae; Thalassiosirales; Thalassiosiraceae. The record is from RNAcentral.
AGUCGACCCCUAAGGCGAGGCCGUAAGGCGUAGUCGAUGGGAAAUCGGUUAAUAUUCCGAUACUUGUUUAUAAUGCGAUGGAGGGACGGAGUAGGUUAUGUCAGCCUGGCGUUGGUUGUCCAGGUGAAAGGAUGUAGGCUUACAGUUUAGGCAAAUCCGGACUGUAAUACGGCUGAGAUCUGAUAGCAAGCGGUACUUGUACCGCGAAGUGGCAAAUACCAUGCUUCCAGGAAAAGCUUCUAAGCAAUAGUUAUAAACGAAUCGUACCCUAAACCGACACAGGUGAUCAGGUAGAGAAUACCAAGGCGCUUGAGAGAACUCUGCUGAAGGAACUAGGCAAAAUGGUACCGUAACUUCGGGAGAAGGUACGCUGCCGAUGGUGAU